RNAcentral lists this transfer RNA (72 nucleotides) under Cavia porcellus (domestic guinea pig). It matches the Rfam family "tRNA". From Rfam's summary of the family: Transfer RNA (tRNA) molecules are approximately 80 nucleotides in length. The record is from Rfam by way of RNAcentral. Lineage: Eukaryota; Metazoa; Chordata; Mammalia; Rodentia; Caviidae.
UGGGAUGUAGCUUAGUGGUAGAGCACUUGCCUAGUAUGUACAAGGCCCUGGGUUCAAUCCCCAGCAUUAAAA